UUAGGAUGAACGCUGGCGGCGUGCCUAACACAUGCAAGUCGAACGGAGAUUAGACGCUGAUGAGGCUUCGGCGGAUUCUGUUUAAUCUUAGUGGCGGACGGGUGAGUAACGCGUGGGCAACCUGCCUCGUACUGGGGGAUAGCAGUUGGAAACGACUGAUAAUACCGCAUAAGCGCACGGAGUCGCAUGACUCAGUGUGAAAAACUCCGGUGGUACGAGAUGGGCCCGCGUCAGAUUAGCUAGUUGGUGAGGUAACGGCCCACCAAGGCGACGAUCUGUAGCCGGACUGAGAGGUCGGACGGCCACAUUGGGACUGAGACACGGCCCAAACUCCUACGGGAGGCAGCAGUGGGGGAUAUUGCACAAUGGAGGAAACUCUGAUGCAGCGACGCCGCGUGAAGUGAAGAAGUAUUUCGGUAUGUAAAGCUCUAUCAGCAGGGAAGAAAGGCUCGUAAGAGAGAUGACGGUACCUGACUAAGAAGCCCCGGCUAACCACGUGCCAGCAGCAGC
This 510-nucleotide ribosomal RNA is filed under the name uncultured bacterium. RNAcentral's name for it is "bacterial SSU rRNA". It matches the Rfam family "Bacterial small subunit ribosomal RNA", at positions 24 to 518 of the family's 1533-position model. The record is from RNAcentral.